RNAcentral lists this long non-coding RNA (1422 nucleotides) under Fragaria vesca (wild strawberry). RNAcentral's name for it is "long non-coding RNA (FVES_LNC002162)". Lineage: Eukaryota; Viridiplantae; Streptophyta; Magnoliopsida; Rosales; Rosaceae. The record is from RNAcentral.
UACGAUAAUACCAGCAUAGUUCCAUACCUCUUUAGCAAAACAACAAUAAUGAAAAAGAUGAUUCGUACUUUCAAGUUCAUAAUGACUGUGAGCCAAGAACGGUCUUUGAAGCUGAUGAGAAAAAAUGAUAUCUCUAGUUUUCAAUCUUCCUCUAAUUAGACUAAAUAUGUGGACUUGAUAUGUGGAUUAGGAUAGGGCAAAUUACAUAUAAGUCCACUUUAAGAUAUUUGUUCCCACAUAAGUCCACCCUAACAUUUUUACCCAUAUAAGUCCACCCAAGCUUAAAUAAGGUUUUGGUUUAAGUAUUGAAGUUCAACAUAAUUACAGACUGCUAUCCAACAAAAAAAAUUAGAUUUUCUCUUUUAUAUUUACAAAAAUGCCACUAAUGUAAAAAGUCAACAACCACUCUUCUCCCCGGAAAAGUCUCCGGCAGACCUCCGGCGAGGUCUCUGAUGGACUCCGGCCGACCUCCGGCAAUGUCUCCGGCUGAAUUCCGAUGAGGUUUUCAACGGUUACGAAAGCUACUACCGCCAGCAAGAAAAGCUACUAUCCCUAGCUACAAAACUACUACCACAGACUAUAAAUGCUACUACCGCCAGCAAGAAAAAUUACUAUCCUUAGCUACAAAAACUAUUAUCCCUAGCUAGAAAAGCUACUACCACAGAUUAGAAAAGCUACUACCACCGACUAUAAAAGCUACUACCGCCAGUAAAAAAAGCUACUAUCCCGAACUACAAAAGCUACUAUCCCUAGCUAGAAAAGCUACUACCACCGACUAGAAAAGCUACUACCACUGACUAGAAAAGCUACUACCACCAGCAAGAAAAGCUACUACCAUCGAAUAGAAAAGCUACUACCACCGACUACAAAAGCUAUUACCACCAGCAAAAAAACUACUACCACCAGCAACAAAAGCUACUCCAUCAACUAGAAAAGCUACUAUCCCUAACUACAAAAGCUACUACCAUACAUAAUAAAAUCUACUACUACCAAGUAAUACAAAAUAUACUAUUACAGUGUCAAAAAUAUACUAUCGUAAUGACAAAAAUAUACUACUACUGUGUUGGAAAUAUACUAUCAUAACCAUAACCAGUCAAUUGUGAGCUUGUUGAGCGUUGAGCAUGUCAAGAGGACGGUUCCAUUCUCGGUAGAGCCUUCGUUUCCCGACGCCGUCGAUGCCAGCAACGACGGGUUUAUCUAGAUCGGAUCUAGAGUUGAAGGCGCUAGAUGGUUGAGCAGAUCAAAUCAGAAGGCGUCAUCGUCGAUCCGGAGGCUUCGUCGUUGGGCCGGCGACGUCGAGGUCGAAUCAGAACAAGUCAAGGUCAAAUCAGAAGAGGCCGAGGUUGAGGCCGAAUUAGAAGUCUGGAUCGGAUCUAGAGGUGAAGGCGCUAGAUGGUUGAGCGGAUCAAAUCAGANNNNNNN